Long non-coding RNA from Oncorhynchus keta (chum salmon), 962 nucleotides. RefSeq lists it as uncharacterized. NCBI's taxonomy places the organism in Eukaryota, Metazoa, Chordata, Actinopteri, Salmoniformes, Salmonidae. The record is from RefSeq and is a predicted model, not a curated record. The transcript is spliced from 4 exons.
CUGAUAUACUGCAGUGUCCCAGUGUUCCAUGGAACGGAGGGGAGUGUCCCCACGCUGCAGCCGUCACCUGUACCCCAAUGGAAGGUAGGAGGGGAGUGUCCCCACUCUGCAGCCGUCACCUGUACCCCAAUGGAAGGUAGGAGGGGAGUGUCCCCACUCUGCAGGGGUCACCUGUACCCCAAUGGAAGGUAGGAGGGGAGUGUCCCCACUCUGCAGCCGUCACCUGUACCCCAAUGGAAGGUAGGAGGGGAGUGUCCCCACUCUGCAGCCGUCACCUGUACCCCAAUGGAAGGUAGGAGGGGAGUGUCCCCACGCUGCAGCCGUCACCUGUACCCCAAUGGAAGGUAGGAGGGGAGUGUCCCCACGCUGCAGCCGUCACCUGUACCCCAAUGGAAGGUAGGAGGGGAGUGUCCCCACUCUGCAGGGGUCACCUGUACCCCAAUGGAAGGUAGGAGGGGAGUGUCCCCACUCUGCAGGGGUCACCUGUACCCCAAUGGAAGGUAGGAGGGGAGUGUCCCCACUCUGCAGGGGUCACCUGUACCCCAAUGGAAGGUAGGAGGGGAGUGUCCCCACUCUGCAGGGGUCACCUGUACCCCAAUGGAAGGUAGGAGGGGAGUGUCCCCACUCUGCAGCCGUCACCUGUACCCCAAUGGAAGGUAGGAGGGGAGUGUCCCCACUCUGCAGGGGUCACCUGUACCCCAAUGGAAGGUAGGAGGGGAGUGUCCCCACUCUGCAGCCGUCACCUGUACCCCAAUGGAAGGUAGGAGGGGAGUGUCCCCACUCUGCAGGGGUCACCUGUACCCCAAUGGAAGGUAGGAGGGGAGUGUCCCCACGCUGCAGCCGUCACCUGUACCCCAAUGGAAGGUAGGAGGGGAGUGUCCCCACUCUGCAGGGGUCACCUGUACCCCAAUGGAAGGUAGGAGGGGAGUGUCCCCACUCUGCAGCCGUCACCUGUACCCCAA